ACUAUACAAACACACUGCAUUAUAUACACACACUGCAUUAUAUACACUGUGUAUAUAAUGCAGUGUGUUUGUGUAGU
Molecule: non-coding RNA, 77 nt
Organism: Pelobates cultripes (western spadefoot toad)
Lineage: Eukaryota; Metazoa; Chordata; Amphibia; Anura; Pelobatidae
Source: the annotation of a GenBank genome assembly